GAGACUCUUAUGUGGAGCUACAAAACAGCCAGUCACCUGGAUUUUGUAGGGUUUGUGUAUUGGAUUCCAAGUUAAACAGAGUGUGGGAUUUUGUUUCUCAUGGAUGGCUACAGGAAAAGCCCUGAUUAAUUACCAUUUAGUGUAACACAAGAUGAAAGACGAGGACUCCGUGUAGUAAGGGACUCUCGGAUUACCGUUUGAAUUACAUAGACUGAAAAAUGUUGAGCCAACUGCAGAGCUGGAAAGACGUGGGCGUUGCUUCUGUUGGGCACGAAGUGGUGAUUUCCAAAGCGUAAGCUGCAAGGCUGUGGGGUGGCCUGUUGCCAUUAACAUGUGUUUAAUUAAAAGCUUGACAGUAAGCAUCGAGGGUGGCCUGUGAGAAAUUCUGACCAGCUUCCAGUGGGAUGAGGAGUCUGAAACCAUUUCAUUAAGCAAAUGUGGUGUUGUACCAGGGCAGCCCCACGUAUGGGUUGAGGGGUCUGACGGGGACUUGCGAUGAUGUUUUCUCUGUGUGGCUACAGAAAAUUCAUGUUACUUGGACCAGUUUCAAGAGACUGGUUCAUAUUCUGCACACCCAGAAGUACCAAACACCCUUAGGUAUUUCUCUGAAUCCCUUUUGAGGAACAGAGGUGUUUGACUCUGCUCUUUGCGUACUCAGUUUCUCAUUACUGGUUUGCUAAUCCCCAGCUUCUGCUAAACAAGAUCUGAGAGGAAUUUUUACCUUCCAGCCUUGCUAUCUCCCAGUGCAUCUUGUAAAGCAUACUGGAUACACCAGUUUCAGGAUUUAACUUGGGAUUUGCUUAGACAUGAAAUUAAUUCAGGGGCAGGAUAGGGUAUGAAUUUUAGAUGCAAUAGCAACUGAUAGAGCUAGCUGAGAAAAUGUCGCUCUGAUAAAGCCUGCUUUACCUUUUUCCCUGGUUAGCGCAUUUCUUCAGAAAAUGUCUCCUUAUUUUUUUUCCCCAAGUUUAUAUGCUUUUCUUCCUUAGCAGUUAUUCUCAGUGCAGAUGGUUUUACCAAAUGCAGUCAGUUUUGGAAGAAGGGGUUUGGGGGUACUGCUUGGUACACACUCUGUUUUUCUCAGACAAUAUUACGCUGUUUCUGCUGUAUGAUCUCCAGGGUCAAAGCAGUGGUAGAUGACACAGUUAAAGUGAUAUAGAUCACAAGCUGUGUGUGGCCAGGGCUUGUCUUGGCCCCCCAGCACACAGGGUCUCUGAGAAGCUGCAGGCAUAGCAACCCACCUGGAUCAUUAAGUCAUAUUUGCUUUUCCUUAGUGUUAAUUUUUCACAGAGCGCUUCCCUGCGGGUUGUCUGCUCCCACCUGCCUGGUGCUGGGAAUUGCAGCCUCUUCCAGUGUUUGUUCCCAGUCCUGCGCUGUGGAAGAGACUGGUGUGAGGCUCCCAGCCAUACCGGGAGGUUUCAUCAGGGCUCCGCUGACCACAGACAUGCAGUGGGAUUUUCUCUGCUCCUCUUUGGAUCUCCAUCCAUCUUCUCGUGAUGGGCUGAGGUCGACUGAGCAUCCGUUGGCUUUCGGGCUCAGGGGCAGAAAGCAGUCUUGGACUGUUCAACCUGAUUUCUCACAGUGGCUGUGGCUCCAGCAUCAGUACCUGCAGGAAUUUCAGCAGUCCUCUCCAGCCAGUUGGCAGGUUGUUCUCUUUUUAAAUCUUUUCCACUGAUUAUGGAUCAUGAGCCAGGAACCUGACAAGAGGUAUUGUUUUGGCAGAUAGACUUUUGUUUCCAAGAAACUUUCCUUUCAUUCCCCGGGGGUGGGGUGUUCCCCCUCGCUUUCCCAAAGGGAAGGAGGAGG
Molecule: long non-coding RNA, 1803 nt
Organism: Athene cunicularia (burrowing owl)
Lineage: Eukaryota; Metazoa; Chordata; Aves; Strigiformes; Strigidae
Exons: 3
Source: RefSeq, a predicted model, not a curated record